CAACUUUGCUAUCUUAGAACGGAUCACCAGUGAAAGAGGGGAAGUUGCUACUGUGAUGAAUUCUGCCAUGUGGUACCAGACUGCUGCCCAGACCACAGUGUCCUCUGCAACCCUGGUCAAAGGUGCCUACAUGUUCCUUCUAGCUUUGUUUCCCUGAUGUUCCUUGCCACCUGCUACUCCUCUCUGAGCUACUUUUCCAGCUUCUCAGAUGACCAAGAUGGUGCUGCCGAUGGUGUUGAGGACGGAGAACCCACCAAGCCCCGUUAGGAGCCACCUAGACUGGAUGCAGAGCACACUCCACCAGGAACUCCACGCCCAUGCGCCUCACUUCCAGGUCUCCUUACUGCACGUCAGGAGAGGCUAACAGACAUCAGCUGCAGCCAGGCAUGUCCCGUACGCCCAAAGAGAGUGCUGCCCCUGGCCUGGGCCCCCACCGACAGACUGCAGCUGCGUUACUG
RNAcentral lists this long non-coding RNA (458 nucleotides) under Pongo abelii (Sumatran orangutan). RNAcentral's name for it is "lincRNA". The record is from RNAcentral. Lineage: Eukaryota; Metazoa; Chordata; Mammalia; Primates; Hominidae.